Arabidopsis thaliana (thale cress) is the source of this 263-nucleotide long non-coding RNA. RefSeq annotates it as other RNA. NCBI's taxonomy places the organism in Eukaryota, Viridiplantae, Streptophyta, Magnoliopsida, Brassicales, Brassicaceae. The record is from RefSeq. The transcript has a single exon.
CGGAGAAGAAUGGUUUUUAGAGACAACACAUUAGUAAGGUGGGAGUGAACCGUGUGGGAGUGAACCGGUAGGGACUCACGGCCCGGGUCAUUAUGUACCAACUUGUCUGAGUCAACAAGAACCCACCCAUUUGGUUCCACCACAACCCAUUUUGCGGAAUUUUAUGGGGAACAAACAAAAGUUAGAUAAAUUCCGGGAAUAUUCUGUGAAGUCAUGAUUCUAGAGAGGUUAUGGAUCAAGUACCUCUCUCUCGUGUUGCAUCU